UAAAUGUCCCCACAGGUAGCUGCUCUGUCCUCACCUUAUCUUACUGAAGUGCUGAUUUACACAGCAGGAGGCAAAUACAUAAUUGACUAUUCCCCUGCCUGUUCCUUUUUCUGUUUGUGCAAUGUGUGGAUUCAGUAAUGACCAUGUUCUCCCUCUUUCCCCUCCAGCCCGCUCCUCCCUUUUAAAUAUUGAAGCCCUCAGAAUCAUCUUUAGAUAAAGGCACAGACCUCCCUCCCAAGCAUGUCCUUAACCUUGGCAAAAUAAACUUCCAAAUUGAUUGAGAGCUGGUUUUGGUUUACAAACUGGCAGCCAAAGGAAGUGACUCAGUGGAGGUGGCCCUGACCUUUGACAAAUCUAUCAGUGCUUGGUACCAGCUUGGGCUAUUUUUAUUGCUCAAACAGGACAAUUUGCUGAGGCCUGGGAGCUCCCCACUCCAGAGAAUCCCUGAUCUCCCAAAAUUUGGUUGAGAUCUAAAGUUUAUUUUGCUGUACACCUCUUUGUCUGCAGUUUUACUUACUCCCAACAAAGAAGGUGCGUUUUCCUGCCUCCAUGACGAUGGAGGGGAGGCAACUCCUUUCUGGAAUUUCAUCUGGCUUCCAGCAGGGAAGGUAAGGAAGCAUGACAGUUGCCCUGACUGCUCCCUGUACCACAUUCAUCACAGCAGAACCUUGUAAUGAAGCUGGAUUUGAGGGCAACACACCCCCUUUAUUGGCUACACACACACUAUCAAGACGAUUCAACUUAGCUACAUUAUACAAAAGUCUUGCUCAGUCGCCCAGGCUGUAGUGCAGUGGCACGAUCUGGGCUCACUGAACGCCUCACCU
Long non-coding RNA from Gorilla gorilla gorilla (western lowland gorilla), 824 nucleotides. RefSeq lists it as uncharacterized. The transcript has 3 exons. The record is from RefSeq and is a predicted model, not a curated record. Lineage: Eukaryota; Metazoa; Chordata; Mammalia; Primates; Hominidae.